UACAUUACUGAAAUGCUCAGCUGGAUUCAA
This 30-nucleotide non-coding RNA is filed under the name Rattus norvegicus (Norway rat). Lineage: Eukaryota; Metazoa; Chordata; Mammalia; Rodentia; Muridae. The record is from RNAcentral.